Molecule: long non-coding RNA, 214 nt
Filed under: Elaeis guineensis (African oil palm)
Lineage: Eukaryota; Viridiplantae; Streptophyta; Magnoliopsida; Arecales; Arecaceae
Description: long non-coding RNA (EGUI_LNC007152)
Source: RNAcentral
AUGUGUAUUAGAUCGUUACUGGAUAUAUAUCAAAAAAAUUUAUAGUAUGUAUCAUUGAUUAUAUAUUUAGUAUAUAUCAUAUGAUCAUAUGGUAUGAAUCGUUAUGUAUUGAAAAUGAGGAAGAAAGUGAAUGCUUUAAUUAUGGGAUUAAUAACUCCAUUACUAGAAAAAGUUUUUAAAUUUUAGACUUAUUCUUUAAGAUUAGUAUUAAGAG